AGACGCUUUGCCAGAUGUUCAUCAUCAAUGUCGGUCAGGGGUUCAGGCACCUUUGGAACGCAUGGCAUCAGCCAUAUGGACCUGCAUGGAUGUGAUAGUUUACUCAAACAUUUUUAUGCCUUCAACUACAGCUACCACACAACUUCAUUGAGAUUUGUUUUCUAUAGGACCUGGAUUAAUAAUCUCCAACAAUAUGGAAUAGGCAAGCACAAGAGAAGAUUUGACAGUAGACGCUCAUUGUUUGAGG
This 247-nucleotide ribosomal RNA is filed under the name Triticum aestivum (bread wheat). RNAcentral's name for it is "partial small subunit ribosomal RNA". Lineage: Eukaryota; Viridiplantae; Streptophyta; Magnoliopsida; Poales; Poaceae. The record is from RNAcentral.